CGUAGAGUAGUUCGACGUCGUCGCACGAGAGACGCUGGCGGCGUGCCUAAUACAUGCAAGUCGAGCGGACGUUUUUGAAGCUUGCUUCAAAAACGUUAGCGGCGGACGGGUGAGUAACACGUGGGCAACCUACCUUAUCGACUGGGAUAACUCCGGGAAACCGGGGCUAAUACCGGAUAAUAUCUAGCACCUCCUGGUGCCGGAUUAAAAGAGGGCUUCUUGCUCUCACGAUGAGAUGGGCCCGCGGCGCAUUAGCUAGUUGGAGAGGUAACGGCUCCCCAAGGCGACGAUGCGUAGCCGACCUGAGAGGGUGAUCGGCCACACUGGGACUGAGACACGGCCCAGACUCCUACGGGAGGCGGCAGUAGGGAAUCUUCCGCAAUGGACGAAAGUCUGACGGAGCAACGCCGCGUGAGUGAUGAAGGGUUUCGGCUCGUAAAGCUCUGUUAUGAGGGAAGAACACGUACCGUUCGAAUAGGGCGGUACCUUGACGGUACCUCAUCAGAAAGCCACGGCUAACUACGUG
RNAcentral lists this ribosomal RNA (526 nucleotides) under uncultured Bacillus sp. Its description in RNAcentral is "bacterial SSU rRNA". It matches the Rfam family "Bacterial small subunit ribosomal RNA", at positions 1 to 507 of the family's 1533-position model. Lineage: Bacteria; Bacillati; Bacillota; Bacilli; Caryophanales; Bacillaceae. The record is from RNAcentral.